This 464-nucleotide ribosomal RNA is filed under the name uncultured bacterium. RNAcentral describes it as "partial 16S ribosomal RNA". It matches the Rfam family "Bacterial small subunit ribosomal RNA", at positions 28 to 507 of the family's 1533-position model. The record is from RNAcentral.
GACGAACGCUGGCGGCGUGCUUAACACAUGCAAGUCGAACGGAAAGGCCCAGCUUGCGGGGUGCUCGAGUGGCGAACGGGGGAGUAACACAUGGGUGAUCUGCCUCUAACAUCGGGGUAAGCUUUGGGAACUGGGUCUAAUACCGGGGAGGGCAAUCGCUGAGUGUCGGUUGUGGAAAGUUUUUUCGGUUGGGGAUGGGCCCGCGGCCUAUCAGCUUGUUGGUGGGGUAGUGGCUUACCAAGGCAUCGACGGGUAGCCGGCCUGAGAGGGUGGGCGGCCACAUUGGGACUGAGAUACGGCCCAGACUCCUACGGGAGGCAGCAGUGGGGAAUAUUGCACAAUGGGCGCAAGCCUGAUGCAGCGACGCCGCGUGGGGGAUGACGGCCUUCGGGUUGUAAACCGCUUUCGACAGGGACGAAGCUUUGGUGACGGUACUUGUAAAAGAAGCACCGGCUAACUACGUG